CUUUUGCACACAGCAAACUGGUGCCACUGGAAACCAAAGGACUCUAGAAGUGAGCUCAAAUAACAUGACAUUUGGUGGUAUAAAGUCUAUUGAUGCCAUUUUGCUAAGGCAAAUCAGAACUCAUGACUUUGUUGGCUGUAUGAGAAACCUGCAAGUGAACAACAUUCGUCCUGAUUCAUUAAAAUCUCUGGCAUCCCACAAUGUUCUUCCAAGGUGUCCAAGAACACAUAUUCCUCCCUGUGAGGCUGCAGUGUGUUUGAAUGAAGGAGUUUGUCAAGACCAAUGGUCUCA
Molecule: long non-coding RNA, 291 nt
Organism: Danio aesculapii
Lineage: Eukaryota; Metazoa; Chordata; Actinopteri; Cypriniformes; Danionidae
Exons: 3
Source: RefSeq, a predicted model, not a curated record